RNAcentral lists this long non-coding RNA (207 nucleotides) under Elaeis guineensis (African oil palm). RNAcentral describes it as "long non-coding RNA (EGUI_LNC023781)". Lineage: Eukaryota; Viridiplantae; Streptophyta; Magnoliopsida; Arecales; Arecaceae. The record is from RNAcentral.
CCACCCCAUGCAUAAAUUGAUUAAAAAAGUAUUAAAAUUCUUGAACUAGCCUUGAAUUGAUGAGUUGUACAUAAUUUUGAAAUUUAUCCUCCUAUAAUUCAAGAUUUAACUCUCCUGGAUUCUACAGCAACCAGGGAACCAGAGUUUUCAUGCAUAGGAAAAGAGCAUUAGUGGGAAUAAGUGGAUGCCGUGAUUGGCCGUGGUAGG